GAUGAACGCUGGCGGCGUGCCUAAUACAUGCAAGUCGAGCGAACAGAUGAGGAGCUUGCUCCUCUGACGUUAGCGGCGGACGGGUGAGUAACACGUGGAUAACCUACCUAUAAGACUGGGAUAACUUCGGGAAACCGGAGCUAAUACCGGAUAAUAUAUUGAACCGCAUGGUUCAAUAGUGAAAGACGGUUUUGCUGUCACUUAUAGAUGGAUCCGCGCCGCAUUAGCUAGUUGGUAAGGUAACGGCUUACCAAGGCGACGAUGCGUAGCCGACCUGAGAGGGUGAUCGGCCACACUGGAACUGAGACACGGUCCAGACUCCUACGGGAGGCCGCAGUAGGGAAUCUUCCGCAAUGGGCGAAAGCCUGACGGAGCAACGCCGCGUGAGUGAUGAAGGUCUUCGGAUCGUAAAACUCUGUUAUUAGGGAAGAACAAAUGUGUAAGUAACUAUGCACGUCUUGACGGUACCUAAUCAGAAAGCCACGGCUAACUACGUG
This 497-nucleotide ribosomal RNA is filed under the name uncultured bacterium. RNAcentral describes it as "partial 16S ribosomal RNA". It matches the Rfam family "Bacterial small subunit ribosomal RNA", at positions 28 to 507 of the family's 1533-position model. The record is from RNAcentral.